GAUGAACGCUGGCGGCGUGCUUAACACAUGCAAGUCGAACGGAAAGGCCCAAGCUUGCUUGGGUACUCGAGUGGCGAACGGGUGAGUAACACGUGGGUGAUCUGCCCUGCACUUCGGGAUAAGCCUGGGAAACUGGGUCUAAUACCGGAUAGGACGAUGGUUUGGAUGCCAUUGUGGAAAGUUAUUUCGGUGUGGGAUGAGCUCGCGGACUAUCAGCUUGUUGGUGGGGUAAUGGCCUACCAAGGCGUCGACGGGUAGCCGGCCUGAGAGGGUGUACGGCCACAUUGGGACUGAGAUACGGCCCAGACUCGUACGGGAGGCAGCAGUGGGGAAUAUUGCACAAUGGGAGCAAGCCUGAUGCAGCGAGGCCGCGUGGGGGAUGACGGCCUUCGGGUUGUAAACUCCUUUCGCUAGGGAAGAAGCGUUUUUGUGACGGUACCUGGAGAAGAAGCACCGGCUAACUACGUG
This 468-nucleotide ribosomal RNA is filed under the name uncultured bacterium. RNAcentral describes it as "partial 16S ribosomal RNA". It matches the Rfam family "Bacterial small subunit ribosomal RNA", at positions 28 to 507 of the family's 1533-position model. The record is from RNAcentral.